Sinocyclocheilus rhinocerous is the source of this 132-nucleotide long non-coding RNA. RefSeq lists it as uncharacterized. The record is from RefSeq and is a predicted model, not a curated record. The transcript is spliced from 3 exons. Lineage: Eukaryota; Metazoa; Chordata; Actinopteri; Cypriniformes; Cyprinidae.
UGUAGUGAUGUACUAAUUUUGACAUGUAGGCAAUUUAGAAAGUAUAGUUUUGUUAAAUCUUGAGUAUGAAAGUCAUGAGAGAGAUAGAUAUCAGGGCAAAAUAAAGAGACUGAAAUAGAAAAUUAUACUUUC